Non-coding RNA from Stegodyphus dumicola, 73 nucleotides. NCBI's taxonomy places the organism in Eukaryota, Metazoa, Arthropoda, Arachnida, Araneae, Eresidae. The record is from the annotation of a RefSeq genome assembly.
GCUUUCGUAGUGUAAUGGUCAGCACGCUGGGCUCCUAUUCUAGAGAUCCGUGGUUCGAUUCCCAGCGAAGGCG